Molecule: ribosomal RNA, 795 nt
Filed under: uncultured Bacillota bacterium
Lineage: Bacteria; Bacillati; Bacillota
Description: bacterial SSU rRNA
Rfam family: Bacterial small subunit ribosomal RNA
Source: RNAcentral
AGGGAGUUUGAUCCUGGCUCAGGAUGAACGCUGGCGGCGUGCUUAACACAUGCAAGUCGAACGAAGCGCAUUGUUUGAAUUCUUCGGAAGGAAGAUAAUGUGACUGAGUGGCGGACGGGUGAGUAACGCGUGGGUAACCUGCCAUGUACAGGGGGACAACAGUUGGAAACGGCUGCUAAUACCGCAUAAGCGCACGAGAUUGCAUGAUCUAGUGUGAAAAACUCCGGUGGUAUAUGAUGGACCCGCGUCUGAUUAGCUAGUUGGUAAGGUAACGGCUUACCAAGGCGACGAUCAGUAGCCGACCUGAGAGGGUGACCGGCCACAUUGGGACUGAGACACGGCCCAGACUCCUACGGGAGGCAGCAGUGGGGAAUAUUGCACAAUGGGCGAAAGCCUGAUGCAGCGACGCCGCGUGAACGAAGAAGUAUUUCGGUAUGUAAAGUUCUAUCAGCAGGGAAGAAGAAAUGACGGUACCUGACUAAGAAGCCCCGGCUAACUACGUGCCAGCAGCCGCGGUAAUACGUAGGGGGCAAGCGUUAUCCGGAUUUACUGGGUGUAAAGGGAGCGCAGGCGGCCCGGCAAGUCUGAUGUGAAAACCCAAGGCUCAACCAUGGGAUUGCAUUGGAAACUGUCGAGCUAGAGUAUCGGAGGGGUAAGUGGAAUUCCUAGUGUAGCGGUGAAAUGCGUAGAUAUUAGGAGGAACACCAGUGGCGAAGGCGGCUUACUGGACGAUAACUGACGCUGAGGCUCGAAAGCGUGGGGAGCGAACAGGAUUAGAUACCCUGGUAGUCCCCU